AAAAUGACUCUCGGCAACGGAUAUCUAGGCUCUCGCAUCGAUGAAGAACGUAGCGAAAUGCGAUACUUGGUGUGAAUUGCAGAAUCCCGUGAAUCAUCGAGUUUUUGAACGCAAGUUGCGCCCGAAGCCAUUAGGCUGAGGGCACGUCUGCCUGGGCGUCA
Molecule: ribosomal RNA, 161 nt
Filed under: Carapichea lucida
Lineage: Eukaryota; Viridiplantae; Streptophyta; Magnoliopsida; Gentianales; Rubiaceae
Description: 5.8S ribosomal RNA
Rfam family: 5.8S ribosomal RNA
About the family: 5.8S ribosomal RNA (5.8S rRNA) is a component of the large subunit of the eukaryotic ribosome. It is transcribed by RNA polymerase I as part of the 45S precursor that also contains 18S and 28S rRNA.
Source: RNAcentral